Molecule: non-coding RNA, 1592 nt
Organism: Oryza sativa Japonica Group (Japanese rice)
Lineage: Eukaryota; Viridiplantae; Streptophyta; Magnoliopsida; Poales; Poaceae
Source: RefSeq, a predicted model, not a curated record
UAAACUUCCUGCAAACGCUCUUAUACCGCCACGUGGCGCUCUAAAAACACUCUCAAGCUGCCACAUAGCACUGCAAUAAAAUAGAUAAAAUCUUAGAAAUUCUGAGAAAAAAAACCUAACCCUCGAUUUUUAUUUAAGUUGGUAGACCAUUAGUUUACACCGUUAGAAUAGAUCCAUUAUAAAUAAAUAGUAAUCUAUCCCUUCUAACUUACCAUGUAAUACUUACCUAAAAAAUAUUGGCAGAAAUAAGCCAAGAAGGCAUACGUGCGUACAGAGUUAACCACUACAAACGAGAAAAGAAGAAAUGAUAUACAGCAUAAAAGAAAAAAAAACAUACUGCAUAUAUACGUACUACGUACUACUGGAAAAAAAACAUUGUUUUUCAAACUGGAUUUUCACUUGCUCUGUAUUUUUUAUGACGGCGUUAAAUAUUUAGUUAAACUACCGAAAGAAAACAAUGAUUUAAAUUAGAUUUUCUAUUAUACUUUCUUUGGAUUUUUUUUAAUUUUAGUGAAGGUGGUAGUAUAAGAAAAAUAUAUUACUUCAUAAAACAUGCACACCCCAAAAUAGAUCUAUAAUAUAAUAUAAAAUAUCAAAUGAACGUAUCAUCUAUACUAGCGUAAAAAAAGGAGGAGUUUUGCCUUCCAAUCCUACAGGUGAAAUCAAAUCCAACGACCCGUGAUCACCUUACAAUCCAAUGGCUCAGAUCACUCCCCAACGUCCCACGCGGCCACGCAACGUCCCUUGCGAACUCUAGCGUCUUCCUCUCAAGCGCCGCCGCAGUCGUGUUGCCUCCUGAUCAUCCGCCGCCAGAUCGCCGUCUUUGCUGUCCUCUUAGGUGCAGCCGCUGCGCACACCCACGGUGCGCACCUCCCUUCCCCGGUUCCCCAGCCCAGUGCUGCCCCCCUCCCUUCACCGUGCAAAACCCUAAGCGCCGCCACUACAAGCAGGUACCUUUGCCGCCAGGAGAUCGCCCUCAUGUCACCUCGCUGCCGUCUCACCAGAUCAUCGACGCACCGCCUCGCCAUACCGGUCCGGCGUCGACUCUGCACACGCUUCAGGUCUACCACGACAACUCUUUCAAGUUAAUUUCAACAGAGUAAAACGGAAGGAGUGAUGGAUUCUCUACGCCUUGCAAAGUUGCAAGUGCAAUAUGAAAUGCUGGGGAUACGACAUUUCAGAUUCAUGCUUCAAGUGAUCACCAUAUGCUGAUAAGCUGAGAGUAUGCUCAAAUGAUCAGCCAGACCUUCUCUUAGAGGUUUCACUUGAUGAGGAAAUGAGUUUAUAGAUGUGUAGAGAAUCUGAAAAAGAUAUUUGGGAAGAGAUGGUAGGUGCAUUUAAAACAAUGGCAAGGAGCCAAGGAGGUUCAGAGGUUGCUUAACUUGAUGAACCUAUUGGAAAGGGUGACAAAGAUUUCAGCAGGUUUUUACUUGUUUUGAGCUUAAUCCAUAUGGGAACUGUUACAGUAAACUGAAAUUCGCAUUUGUAAUUCACAUGUAAACCAUUGUCAUGACAGUGAAACUACUGGCCAUUUUGCUGGUAUAGUGAUAUUAGGGCCAUACAUGAAUUAUAGUUCAGUCUUUUUUUAUAAA